RNAcentral lists this ribosomal RNA (169 nucleotides) under Lactarius rufus. RNAcentral describes it as "5.8S ribosomal RNA". It matches the Rfam family "5.8S ribosomal RNA". Rfam says of the family: 5.8S ribosomal RNA (5.8S rRNA) is a component of the large subunit of the eukaryotic ribosome. It is transcribed by RNA polymerase I as part of the 45S precursor that also contains 18S and 28S rRNA. Functionally, it is thought that 5.8S rRNA may be involved in ribosome translocation. The record is from RNAcentral. Lineage: Eukaryota; Fungi; Basidiomycota; Agaricomycetes; Russulales; Russulaceae.
UACAACUUUCAACAACGGAUCUCUUGGCUCUCGCAUCGAUGAAGAACGCAGCGAAAUGCGAUACGUAAUGUGAAUUGCAGAAUUCAGUGAAUCAUCGAAUCUUUGAACGCACCUUGCGCCCCCUGGUAUUCCGAGGGGCACACCCGUUUGAGUGUCGUGAAAACCUCAA